This is a long non-coding RNA of Carassius gibelio (silver crucian carp), 587 nucleotides long. RefSeq lists it as uncharacterized. The transcript is spliced from 5 exons. Lineage: Eukaryota; Metazoa; Chordata; Actinopteri; Cypriniformes; Cyprinidae. The record is from RefSeq and is a predicted model, not a curated record.
UGUUAAACUUGUAAAUAGUUAAAUAUAAAAUACUUGCGUUCGCUGAUUAUUUAAUUGGAUAUGAAUUGAACAUAUUUGGCAACUUUAGAAGAUGAGCACGUGAUCGGUGGGGGAGGGGAGCAACGGUUAGCGUCUGAUACCAGAGAAAAGUCUCUGUGAAUAAAACGGAUAUUAUCUCAAAUAUAAUCUCGAUUACAGAUUGCAGAUAACGAGGAUAUGAAGAACAUGAAGAUGGACUGGUUUCACAUGCAGAUGUUGCAGCAUCUGCAUCUGAGGUUGAGAAGACACUCAAUCUACCUGCCAAUCCUCAUCUGAUUUUGCUAGUGUCCAGUCAACAUUUUUGACUGCAGUUGCAAGUGUUUGCUGUGCACUACAUCUUCAACCUGCAGUAUCAAGAGGCGGCUUGUUGCACGUUAGAGUUUUUUCAAAGAUGAUUCUAUGGAAUAAACCCAGAAAGAGGCUCAAAGACCUGCCGAGGCAAGGUAGUCUCCAAGAAGACGGGAAAGGUGGUGAAUAAGAAGUCCACUACAGUCAAUCCAAAGGUUGCCACUCUACAAAAAAAUCGAAUGGACUUCAAAUGGGACUUC